This 1211-nucleotide unclassified non-coding RNA is filed under the name Hevea brasiliensis (rubber tree). Lineage: Eukaryota; Viridiplantae; Streptophyta; Magnoliopsida; Malpighiales; Euphorbiaceae. The record is from RNAcentral.
GGGGAUAAUCCAUCGCAGCCACAGGUCACUCUAAGGGAGAAACUCCUUAUGGAUGCCGGUGCAAUAGCUGGGUUCUUGACGGGACUUCGUGUGUAUCUUGAUGACCCUGCUAAAGUAAAGCGUCUACUCCUUCCUACUAAUAUAUCUGGUUGUAGUGAUGGAAAGAAGGUAAAUAAGAAUGACAAAUCCUCCCCCAGCUUGAUGAACUUGCUGAUGGGGGUAAAAGUGUUGCAGCAAGCAAUCGUUGAUCUACUGUUGGAUAUUAUGGUUGAAUGUUGCCAACCCUCCGAGGGAAGUUCGAGUAGUGGGUCAUCUGAAGUGAAUCCUAAAACUUUUCCAAAUGGAAAUGGAGCAGGUAGUCAAUUGGGGUCUGAUAGAGCUAAUGGUGCAAAUGAACCUUUGCAACUUUACACCCAUGAUAGACUGGAUACGGUGACGGAUGAGAGCAUGAACUCAUCUGCUGUUCAGAGCUCAGAUAUUGAUGGGAUUAAUGCACAUGAAAGGGCAUUCAACGGGAAACCUAUGCAUCCGCAUCCGCCAGAAACAUCUGCUGGCGGUUCCUCUGAAAAUCCUUCCCUUCGUACUAAGACCAAAUGGCCAGAGCAGUCUGAGGAGCUUCUUGGACUGAUAGUGAACUCCCUAAGAGCACUUGAUGGAGCUGUUCCACAAGGUUGUCCUGAGCCGAGGAGGAGGCCACAGUCAGCCGAAAAGAUAGCCCUUGUAUUGGAUAAAGCUCCGAAGCAUCUACAGCCGGACCUAGUUGCUUUGGUUCCAAAAUUGGUUGAGCAUUCAGAACAUCCACUUGCUGCUUAUGCGCUUCUAGAACGACUUCAGAAGCCAGAUGCUGAACCUGCAUUAAUGAUUCCAGUCUUUGGUGCACUCGGGCAGUUGGAGUGUAGCAGUGAUGUGUGGGAACGUGUCCUUUUCCAGUCAUUUGAUCUUUUAGUGGAUUCCAUUGAUGAACCUCUUGCUGCAACUGUUGACUUCAUAUUCAAGGCUGCACUGCAUUGUCAUCAUCUUCCAGAAGCAGUCAGAGCUGUACGUAUCCGGCUGAAAAAACUAGGCAAUGAAGUCUCCCCAUGUGUUCUUGAUUAUUUGAGCCGAACUGUAAAUAGCUGUUCAGAUGUUGCUAAAGCUAUUCUAAGAGAUAUUGACUGCGAGAAUAAGUCUGGUGAUAAUUGCUCGGCUGUACCAUGUGGGAUUUUCUUAUU